CCUUGUUGAAGAAGGCGAGUUUUAAUGUCGAUGCUUGGUUUCGGAAAAUUGUGGACAUCCAUGGACAAAAUCCCUGAUAAGUGUGCCACAGAUCCGAGAGGACRUCAUUGUGAGGCAACUGUCGAAGGGGGGAAACUGUGUCAAAAAAAGACGAUCRCCGAAAAAAGGACAUUGAAGCCGGCGAGAGCAUGUCCAGCAGAACAAGGGGGUAUCUGCAAUCAUGUGCCAGCACUACUGUUUGAGUUGGAGCAAUAUCGAGCUUGUGGGGUGGUGGAACUACAAAGUAAACCAGUCUGCACCCAGUUGCCUUGUUCAUGGAAGGGAUGAGCCCAAAAACGAACUGCCGAACAAACUACUUGUGAUGAGCAGCAAAUUUUAAUGUGUCAUUUAAGACAUGAGGUCGGCGUGGAGGUCUCCUGGAAAACGUUGAACUUUUGACCCAUGACAUCCUGACGACCUGAAUGAAAACACCACUGCUGAUCUUCAUAAGGAUAUUUGGAGCGUUGAAUCUUCUUUGCCAUUUUGCAGGUAUGCCGUGCCUCUGGUUGCYRUGCCAGAUCCUGACCCUCAACCAGAUGACGCAGCUGACGACCUAGGCCYGCAUCCAGUCUCCA
Molecule: long non-coding RNA, 614 nt
Organism: Austrofundulus limnaeus
Lineage: Eukaryota; Metazoa; Chordata; Actinopteri; Cyprinodontiformes; Rivulidae
Exons: 4
Source: RefSeq, a predicted model, not a curated record